GUCCAGCCUGCCCAGUGACAUUGUUCAACGGCCGCGGUAUCCUAACCGUGCGAAGGUAGCGUAAUCACUUGUUCUUUAAUUGAGGACUAGUAUGAAUGGCUUCACGAGGACUAUACUGUCUCCUUUUUCUAAUCAAUGAAACUAAUCUCCCCGUGAAGAAGCGGGGAUAACUUUAUAAGACGAGAAGACCCUAUGGAGCUUUAAACAAUUGAAAUAUUUGCUUUUACUAACUACCUUCCGUGGCCUAAAUAUAUUUAAGCAUUAUUAAUUUCUAGUUUUAGGUUGGGGUGACCACGGAGUAAAAUUUAACCUCCACGCUGAAAGUAAAGCCUUCUUAGCAAAAAGCCACAUCUUUAUGCAUCACUAAACUGACUUACAUUGACCCAAUUAUUUGAUCAACGAACCAAGUUACCCUAGGGAUAACAGCGCAAUCUACCUCAAGAGCCCGUAUCGACAGGUAGGUUUACGACCUCGAUWUUGGAUCAGGGUGUCCUGGUGGUGCAGCCGCUACUAAAGGUUCGUUUGUUCAACGAUUAAAACCCUACGUGAUCUGAGU
RNAcentral lists this ribosomal RNA (556 nucleotides) under Phyllobates vittatus. RNAcentral describes it as "partial 16S ribosomal RNA". It matches the Rfam family "Bacterial large subunit ribosomal RNA", at positions 1852 to 2610 of the family's 2925-position model. The record is from RNAcentral. Lineage: Eukaryota; Metazoa; Chordata; Amphibia; Anura; Dendrobatidae.